GCCGCUUGGGGGGCCGGGAGCUGCCGCUGCCCCCCGGCUACACCGGGGCCGUGCUGCAGGGGGGGGCACCGGGAGAGCCCCCCCUGGGCGAGCCCGGGGACCCCCAGGCCGGCUGGGUGACGGUGACGGGGUCGUUCGGGGCCAUCACGGACUGGGGGGCUGACACCGCCCCCGCCCCCGGCCGGGGCCUGGCCCGGGCCCUGCACUGGGGACCCCUCGCCCAGGCCCUCCACGCCCCCGUGACCGAGGACAGCGAUGAGGAGGCGGAGCCAUGACAGGCCACACCCACCGGAUAAACCACGCCCACAUCAUUAACAAAUCCGACCACGCCCAAAGGGGGCGGGGUCCAUUAGAACCGCCGUGCCUUAAGCCCUGCCCAGUGUGGGUGGAGCCUGUGUAAGCCCCACCCCUUUUAUUAAAACAUCAAAAUGUUCUCAGGAGGCCCCACCCACAAACAAAGCCACGCCCACUAUGGGCGGGGCAUCAAAGCCACGCCCACAAAUCCAGUCCCACUGUGGGCGGGGCCUGGCAGCACCCCGCCCCCUUUCUGCUCAAUAAAGCGUUUGCAGCUCCA
Non-coding RNA from Pseudopodoces humilis (Tibetan ground-tit), 574 nucleotides. The record is from RefSeq and is a predicted model, not a curated record. NCBI's taxonomy places the organism in Eukaryota, Metazoa, Chordata, Aves, Passeriformes, Paridae.